GCUAAUUCUAGCUUGAUACUUCUUAGAACAACAUGAUUAUAGUACAAAAUAUGAUUUUAGUAUACAACAUAAAUUGGUCCCCAAAAAAUGAUUUGUAUGAAGAAGAAAAUAGAACUACAAUUUACAAUCUUCGGUAUCGCAUACCGGGUUGUUCCCUCUUUCUUCAUGAUGGCAUGUAGAUUUCUCCAACGGACUCUCGGUGAGCUCUCCAUUUUCUGUGAUUCAAAUUGAAGAGGAAUCUAUCAAACAUUUCCCUAAUGCUGAAAUCAGUAUGUACUUCUAUUUAAUUUUUAAAAAACCGGUUAUUAUAACUUGUAUUUGUGUGGUGGCAUCGGGUGAGCUUACAAAAUAAAAUCAUAUGCAUUUUGGACACGGACAAUUCAACUACGCCGAAUAAUAAAGUGAGUAGAAAUCUAUGAAAUGGAUGGCAAUAUAUUCAAAUGAGAUUAGUUCAGUUCAGAUUAUAUUCCUACAAUAUCAGGAUGAAACAAAAAAUAUAGUCUAUACUAUUGUUUAUGUUUUGUAAAAAAACUAUAUGAAGUAUCAAGGCUGCCAUACCAACUAACAAAACACCAGAGUAUCAAUUCCACUUGCAUAGCCUAUUCUUCUAUGCAACAUCAUAGUAGCACACCAGUCCCCUAAAAUUUAAACACUUUAUUACAUUUUAUUGGUCAUAGCAGUUUCUACAAAAUCACAAAACACAGAAACAUGAUGUGCAAAAAGAAACAUGAAGUAGCACAAGCAUGCAGGGAACUAUCAUGGGAAAAGGAUCAAGAAGAUUAGAACCAACAUAAAAACAAGAAUAGUAAUACAAAGAGCACCCAGUGGACUCACCUGUGCCCUAUGGCAUGUCCGUUCCUCGCAUCAUAGAUCCCACUGGCUACAAGUAAUUCAAGUUCCUGCCUCAUGUGGCUUAGAUUUGAAUAAUACUUAUAAGAGGGGAUUGAUAAGAUGCAUGCAUAUUGUAGGGAUUCUUCUCACCAGACAUGGAGGCAGGGCCGCUGGGGACACGUGAUUUGCAACUGGCUAGCAUUCCAGUGCAAUAAAGAUGGAGAAGAUGAAGAGACGA
Molecule: long non-coding RNA, 1069 nt
Filed under: Triticum aestivum (bread wheat)
Lineage: Eukaryota; Viridiplantae; Streptophyta; Magnoliopsida; Poales; Poaceae
Description: long non-coding RNA (TAES_LNC020830)
Source: RNAcentral